UACGAAGGGGGCUAGCGUUGCUCGGAAUUACUGGGCGUAAAGGGCGCGUAGGCGGCACUGUUAGUCAGGCGUGAAAGUCCUGGGCUCAACCUGGGAACUGCGCUUGAUACGGCAGAGCUAGAGGAUGGAAGAGGCUCGCGGAAUUCCCAGUGUAGAGGUGAAAUUCGUAGAUAUUGGGAAGAACACCGGUGGCGAAGGCGGCGACCUGGUCCAUUACUGACGCUGAGGCGCGACAGCGUGGGGAGCAAACAGG
RNAcentral lists this ribosomal RNA (253 nucleotides) under uncultured bacterium. RNAcentral's name for it is "partial 16S ribosomal RNA". It matches the Rfam family "Bacterial small subunit ribosomal RNA", at positions 524 to 776 of the family's 1533-position model. The record is from RNAcentral.